This 3011-nucleotide long non-coding RNA is filed under the name Nicotiana tabacum (common tobacco). RNAcentral's name for it is "long non-coding RNA (NTAB_LNC003597)". The record is from RNAcentral. Lineage: Eukaryota; Viridiplantae; Streptophyta; Magnoliopsida; Solanales; Solanaceae.
AAGGACUAUGAAAAUUCCUAGAUUAGCUACCAAAUUCUUUCAUGGAUGUUAUAUUCUUAACUGGAGAGUGAAUCCUAAAUAAUUAAAUGUUCGGGUAUGGAGAGUCUCGAGUGAGACUCCAUUUUUGCUCCAAGUGCAUAUGCAAAAGGAAAGAAGAAAAAGAUUAGAGAGGAGAAAAAAUCCUAAACAAGUAUGAAAACGAAGGAGAAAAACAGUGGCAUCAAUCAAGUUAUUAACUUGCACUAAAUCACAAGCUCACAAAGGGAUAAGGAAUUUAUUACUUCCAGCAACAUUAUACCAACAAAUUUGGAGAAUUUCUUAUUACUAACAUAUCUCCUACAUACACCAUCAAAUGAACUUUCUAUGUUUAUUGAAAUCUUAAAGGUUGAAUAGAUUAAGUUGUCCUACAAUUAUUCCUUCUUGAUCAGUGAAUUAUGGAACCUUAUUAACUCCUUUAAAGUGAAUUAAAUACAUGCUAUCUAAUCCUUCGACACUAGUGUUUGCAAUAAAUUUUCAAGAUAUGAAAAAUAAAUUACAAUCACAAAAUAGGAGAAAAAUAUUUUUACUAAUCAAUUGUGAGUACAAUUAUGAUUCUUCUCUCCUGAUUAUCUCCGUGAUUCGAGGGCUGAAGCAGCAUAUUUCUCGAAUGUAGGAUGAUGCAGACCUCCUGGGGAUGUAUUUGAUCUCCAGCUUCUUGAACUAUUUGAUAGUCGAGAAGUAUCCGGUCAUAUUUUGAUCUCUUUGUGCAUAUCUCGAGAGUUUAUGGGAUUUUUGAGACCCCUAAUAGACUCCUGGGAUUUCAAGAGUCUUGUAGUAUCUUAAAAUUAGGAUUUAGCUUGAUCCGUUAAAAUUUAGAUGUGUACAAAUUCCCCAUACUUCAAGGUUUGUCGGGAUGUAGGCUUGCCGAAACUUGAAGACGAAACUUGAAGUACUCGACCAUCGCAACAAAUGAUUUUGAAACUUGGAGUUUUCAAUUUACAGGAGGAAGAGAUGAAGGGCAGAACUGGUCUCACUAGGCAUGCCAAUUUGUUUGCAAUAAAUUUUCAAGAUAUGAAAAAUAAACUACAAUCACAAAAUAGGAGAAAAAUACAAUUCUGUUUCUCCCUUGAUUCUUCUCUCCUGAUUAUCUCCGUGAUUCCAGGGCUGAAGCAGCGUAUUUCUCGAAUGUAGGAUGAUGUAGACCUCCUGGGGAUGUAUUUGAUCUCCAGCUUCUUGAACUAUUUGAUUGUCAAGAAGUAUCCGGUCAUAUUUUGAUCUCUUUGUGAAUAUCCCAAGAGUUUAUGGGAUUUUUGAAACCCCUCUUCAAGGGAAUAUGUAUCCCUUAAUAUAGGUAUGCGUUAGGGUUUAGGAUAGAGUAAUCUCCAAGAAACCCUAAUAGACUCCUAGACAGAACAUAUAUUUCAUGAAGAGAAUUCUGGAAUUGAACCUAUAAGCAUAAUCUCUAGGCGAUGGAAGGUCUCAUACAAGGUAACUUCAAUUCUAUAGACCUGAUCUCCACACUUUUGGCUAUAUUUAAAAGAUUUUGAUUGAUAAGAAUGUUAACAGCAUGUUUCUUCCAUUUGAUGCAUCAAAAUUAAAGCGAGUGAACAUUGAUAAGUUCUAACAUACUUCAAUGAUCAGUGAAUCAUAUUUUAUUACAUAGUUCACAGAAUCAGAUCCUUAACAUGGAACCUCUUACUCCUAAUUAGUUUUUAAAAAUAAUAGCAUUUUAUGAAUGUGCUUCCUAGAGUGGAGAAUAGCGGGAAGCAGACACUAGACACACCGGGAGAAAGGUCUUGUUACAUGGUUUGAUAACAAUUUUUCUUCUUCUGUGAAUAGGAAAUUCUUAACCGUACACUCUAAUCAAUCAAAUUUCUUUUAUUUUAUUAGAGUCCUGAUGUACAGAUUUUACUAUUCCUAAAGUCUUGACAGAGGAUUACAUGCACUCAAUAGAGAGAGUUCUAAGAAAUCACAGCAGUUUCCAAGUUGUUCUAUUGCUUAGAAGCAUGAAUUCUCAGAGGUGAAACAAGAUAUCACAUUUGACAUGGUGAAUUCCUAUAGUCAUCGUAACCAAGUAUUGAAAGGAUGUCUCUUUAAUAAAUAACAUGAUCAUUUAAUCUAGACAUAUAGUAGCUAAUUACUCUUCCAGUCAUCAUGCUUUCUACGACAUUCGAACUAGGAAACAGUAACUUACAGUCAUAUUUUAAACAAGAAAAGAAUACAUGAACAAUGGUAUUCAAAGCAAAGACCUAACAUCAGUAAACUAAUUUAUUCACAUAGGCAAGCAAUUGACUUCUUAUUUUCUUCAAGCUUUAUGCAAACAUACCACAUAACUUCACAACUUUUACGCAUACAAAAUUUCUUAAUCAUGAUUUUUAUGGAAAUAAACUAUGACUCGCGUUUUCGAACAAAUAGACGAACACUUCAGAUCUUCAAAGAAAAACGAGAAUAAAGAUUUCAGAGUUACUGACCUUUUGUGGUGCAGGAACUGGGGUCGCGUCAAGGUCUGCUAUCUCCGGCCUCUACUCCGCAACCUCGAAUGACUGUCAAACUCCAAGACGAGCACAACGAUGCCUCUGUUAUGGUUAAAACCAAUAGAGGCUGAACGAAAACGAACUCUUAGAGUGCGGUUCUAAUGAAUAAAAAUAAGAGAAGAAUGGCGAGGAAAAGAGUAUAAAAGCAGCGGGUCCAAAGGUGCUGAAAAUAGCCACAAGGUCUGGUAUUUAUAGGUGUAAAAUUAGGGUUCUGGGUUCCUUUGAGAGGGAAUUUGAAAUUCAGAUUUCGAAAGAAGUCAAAUGGAUCCGUUUAAAUUUUAACGGAGAAGCUUUUUGGAUGGAUUCGAUCUUCACGUGAUUCUUCAGUGAUAUGCUACAGGUUACACCCGAAAUGGUGAGAUAUGCUCUGUCACGUAGGGAUUUGAAGGUCAAAGCUUGGCUAAAAAUGGAGGAAAGUGCCAAGAGAAAGUUCUGCCAUGGCAGAGAGGGAAUUAGGGUUAGAAAAUAAAGGAUGUGGACUGUUGGAUAAAAAACGAU